UAUAACUUGUAAAAAUUGUAAAACAAAAUAAAAGCAAAGUCACAUGCACUAGCAAAAGCAAUCUAACAUAACGCCAAGUUACCAACAAUUUACAAAGUCACCCAAAAGCAAAGUAAAAUAAUGCAAGUUACCAACAAUUUGCAAACAAAAAACCCUAACCUUCCCCGUCGUCACACGCACUAGCAACACUCAAUACUGGUUCGAUACACUCUCAACACCGAUUUGAAGGACGUCAGUCGCACGAUUCCGGCUAGAGCAAGCCAUCUUCUUCCCCGAGUCCAUCGAGCCACUUCACAAUCACUGGUUCCAGCCGAACAAUUGCACUAUCACAACCUUCAAGAUCGCCACCCGUAUGGCUUCUCCUAGUUCCCAUCAUUGACAGCUCCGUAAUCACCACUUUUCGACAAGCGCAACAGCCCUAGUGAAGGAUCAGAUUGUAUUUGAUUUCAGAAACUUCGCCAUUUCAAUUAAUUGUGGCUUUAUUUGAACAAUUAAUUUCGGUGUUAUAUUAAUGUAUUAUUGUUACUUUAUUUGAACAAUUAAUCUUAGUGUAUUAUAUUUUGAAACUUUGAACGUAUUAUUAUAGUUUUAUUUGAACAAUUAAUCUCAAUGUGUUAUAUUUUAAAACUAUGAAUGUAUUAUUUUAUCUUUAUUUAAACAAUUAGUUUAUUUAAAUUUUAUUCAAUUUUUAAUUUAAUCAGUAUUAAAUAUUUUUUUUAUAUUAGAUUUUUUUUAUUUCAUUAGUUCAUGGUAGGGAUGGCGAUUUGGAAUGAGAUUGAGACAUAUUUUUGUCCCAUAAAAAAAUUUAGGAACGGGACUGGGACUUUUUUUUUUUUUAUCUCACUUGCAUACAUGAGACAGGAGUGAAUUGGCAAAUUCUGCCACAUCCGUCUCAUUGCCGACUAAGAAUGAGAAUAUUUUCAAUUGGGAUGGGAUCCCGCAGGAUCCUAUCUCUUUUGGGACGAGAUCGGGACAUAUUUUUAUCCCAAAAAAAAUAUAGGGACGGGAGUGAGACGUUUUUUCAUCCCACUUGCAUAUACGGACGAGAAUGAGAUUGGUAAAUCCUAUAUCAUCUCGUCCCAUUACCAACCUUAGUUCAUGGAUUGGAGAGAACUAAAAAUUUUUAAUUCGGAAACUAAUGCGCAAAAUGGUGGAUUGGAUAUGGAUUAAGUUAAAUCCGCAUCCGAUCCGCAGACGUAUGGAUUGAGUUAAAUCCGCAUUUGAUCCGUAGAUGUAUGGAUUGGAUUUGGAUUGAAUUUAUUCAAUCCGUGGAUUGGAUUGGAUUGAAAAAUUAUAAUCCGCAAAAUCAUGGAUCGGAUCUGGAUUAAUGUCUAAUCUGUAAAAUCCGAUCCGUGAAAACCCCUAAAUUUAACAUCAAUUUUCUGGACCAACCUACGUUACAGAAUAUGUAACGUACACACCCAAUGGGAAGCAGCACACGUGUCCUGAGGAGAGAGAAAAACCGUGCAAAUGCAGGCAAUAAGAGUUGGCUACAGUUGGAUUUGUAAGUUACAGAAUCUGUAACUUAGCCAGCUCCCAAUUUUCUUUGUAAACCAAGUCAUAGACUAUCCAGAUAUCCUACGAAAAUGACUUUUGAAUCUUUGGACGUGGAGUGGACUGGGUGGUUUUAUUCAUAUAGAUGCCAUUUGACUAGAGCUGGCAAAAUUUAACACGAUUCGAUUAUUUGACACGAACACGACACGAAUAAAUGAGUGUGGAUCGUUAAAUUUAACACGAUUAUUAAAUGGAUUGUUUUGGGUCGACACGAUUUUUUUCCAUGUCAGAUUAAAGUUAAAGUUUUUGACCUAUUUACCCGAUCAAUGACUUGAUUAUAUUUUCUAUU
Molecule: long non-coding RNA, 1843 nt
Filed under: Citrus x clementina
Lineage: Eukaryota; Viridiplantae; Streptophyta; Magnoliopsida; Sapindales; Rutaceae
Description: Citrus clementina (C. clementina) long non-coding RNA (CCLE_LNC003530)
Source: RNAcentral